RNAcentral lists this ribosomal RNA (467 nucleotides) under uncultured bacterium. Its description in RNAcentral is "partial 16S ribosomal RNA". It matches the Rfam family "Bacterial small subunit ribosomal RNA", at positions 28 to 507 of the family's 1533-position model. The record is from RNAcentral.
GACGAACGCUGGCGGCGUGCUUAACACAUGCAAGUCGAACGGAAAGGCCUCUUUCGGGGGGUACUCGAGUGGCGAACGGGUGAGUAACACGUGAGUAACCUGCCCUUGACUUUGGGAUAACUUCAGGAAACUGGGGCUAAUACCGGAUAGGAGCUCCUGCUGCAUGGUGGGGGUUGGAAAGUUUCGGCGGUUGGGGAUGGACUCGCGGCUUAUCAGCUUGUUGGUGGGGUAGUGGCUUACCAAGGCUGUGACGGGUAGCCGGCCUGAGAGGGUGACCGGCCACAUUGGGACUGAGAUACGGCCCAGACUCCUACGGGAGGCAGCAGUGGGGAAUAUUGCACAAUGGGUGGAAGCCUGAUGCAGCAACGCCGUGUGCGGGAUGACGGCCUUCGGGUUGUAAACCGCUUUCGCUCAUGACGAAGCUUUGUGUGACGGUAGUGGGUAAAGAAGCACCGGCUAACUACGUG